Molecule: RNA transcript, 1331 nt
Organism: Raphanus sativus (radish)
Lineage: Eukaryota; Viridiplantae; Streptophyta; Magnoliopsida; Brassicales; Brassicaceae
Gene name: serine/arginine-rich splicing factor SR30
Exons: 13
Source: RefSeq, a predicted model, not a curated record
AAUCUAACGCUUUCUCGCUUCCUCCUCCUCUUCUUCGUGUGUCUCUCUCCCUGCAAGCAAAGAAAAUAUGAGUAGCAGCAGCCGAUGGAAUCGUACGAUCUACGUUGGGAACUUACCUGGUGAUAUUCGCAUGAGAGAGGUUGAAGAUCUCUUCUACAAGUAUGGACCUAUUGUGGACAUUGAUUUGAAGAUUCCACCUAGGCCUCCCGGUUAUGCAUUCGUUGAGUUUGAAGAUCCUCGUGAUGCAGACGAUGCUAUUUAUGGACGGGAUGGGUAUGACUUUGAUGGAUGUCGACUUCGGGUUGAGAUUGCACAUGGUGGUCGUAGAGGUUCAUCAUCGGUUGAUAGGUACAGCAGCAGCUACAGUGGGAGCCGUGCACCUUCUAGACGUUCCGACUACCGUGUGCUUGUGACGGGAUUGCCGCCGUCUGCUUCCUGGCAGGACCUUAAGGACCACAUGCGCAAAGCUGGAGAUGUCUGCUUUUCUGAAGUUUUUCGCGACCGUGGAGGCAUGUCUGGGGUUGUGGAUUAUAGCAACUAUGAUGAUAUGAAGUAUGCUAUAAGGAAGCUUGAUGAUUCUGAGUUUCGAAAUGCUUUCUCUAGAGCUUAUAUACGGGUGAGAGAAUAUGAGUCGAGGAGUGUGAGUCGCAGCCCAUACUAUUCUAGAAGAAGCAGGAGUCGAAGCUAUAGCUAUAGUAGCAGAAGUGCAAUGCAAGUGUGUCGCCUGCUAGAUCGGGAUCUGCCCGUUCUCCAACUCCUCUUUCUCGUUCUCCAACACCGCGUAGCUCAGUCUCAAGAUCUGGCUCACUGCGGCGAGCUGGGGACUGGAUCUUAGGGACUUGAUGGAUCAUCUAUAGAUGGGUUCUAGGAACUUACUGCUCUGAUACUCAGCGCAGAUCCUUGCAACAUUUGUGAUUUAAGAGUCCCUUUGAUUCUCUAACGUUUUCUUUUUGUUGUCUAUGCUGGAAUCCAUGUUUAGUUCUUUUCCAGACCAACAACACUUUAAUUCCCGACGCCACAGUAAACAUUUGUUGUCUUUGCUGCAGGUCCCGAUCGAGAUCGAUAUCAGAUUCUCCAGUUUCACCCGUGCGAUCUGACUGAAAAGGAGAACUGGUGACCGGGAAUAGAGGACCGCCGUAUCCAAAUUGAUUCAUGCUUCUCAUGGUCCACUGGUAGUAUAAUAAUCUGAUUUGGAUUUGAGUUAUAUAUCUCGCAUGACCGUUGAUAAUAAUGUCUUCCUUUUCAAACUUUUAGUUGGUCUGUUAUUGUCUCUUUGCAAUGAACCGAACCUCUACAAAUAAUCUAUUUAUAGAUUGUGGUUGCUUGGAAAA